This 1506-nucleotide long non-coding RNA is filed under the name Diabrotica virgifera virgifera (western corn rootworm). RNAcentral describes it as "uncharacterized LOC126878772". The record is from RNAcentral. Lineage: Eukaryota; Metazoa; Arthropoda; Insecta; Coleoptera; Chrysomelidae.
CGGUUGAGCCUACCAUAAUUAUGGUUUUGUACCACAACGUUUCUCCUUUACCGUGUCCAUCCUCAGGUUCGCCUAGCGUCAGUUAGUUCUGGAAAAUAAAAAAAAAGGAAACUUGUAGAGUUUUCCUUUUUUUGCUGGAGAAGAGGGAGAAUGUAGCGACCACGCUACUAAUUAAAUUACUUUAAUUAAAAUUGGAUUAAAAUAUACCCCUCUACAAAAUCCUUGGGUGACGCCCGCGAAGAUCCAACUACGAUUUUUCGGUGCACAGGCGCGCCAAUAGAAAGAAAAUCGAUGAUUGUCGAUUUCUAGUUUAGUUGGUCACGAACUCACAAAGAGGCAACACAUCGUCAUUACUUAGGUGACGGAGUUUGGGCAAAAUUGGGAAAAUAUAUAACUAAAAGACCUCGAACAUCAGCCAAUAACCCAUACUAAUAAAAAUCAAGCAGUAGUUAUAUCUGGAGACUUAUUUACAAGAAAGGAAAAAGGUUAUAAUACCGCCGAUGUGUUGCUUUGCUCAAAUUCCGUCCCGUAGCUACUUGUCACAUAGACACUUAGCCUAGUCAAUUUAUAUAGAUUGUAUCAUCAUUUAAUGUGCCAUCAUAUAAAUAUGUGCCAGUUAUUGUAAGCAGCUAGGGUAUGGGUUACCCCUAGAGUUACUUUUGAUUGGAUUGGAUAGUACCUAUUUCACAACAUCCAGGAUUGGAUUUAUCACCACAGCAGCCCACUAGUUUUUGCCGUGCCAAGAGGAAAUUCAUUCCUAUCUGGACCUUUUUAAAUAGGACUUGUGGUUAAGAUAAGUUGUUUAAUCUUAUUAUUUACAUAUUUUGGGUACUCUAUAGUUGCUUGCACUGUAAACUUCUUGUAUGCAUACAAUUGAGGUAAACUAGGUACAUAUUUCUUGAUAGAUAGGGUUUUAGGUCGUUGGUUUUUUUUUAAUUUAAUAGAAGUAGUAGUUUCCAAUAAAUAAAAUUAGGUCUUGUUCAAUAAUCAUUAUAAAUAAAAAUUGUAGCUUAAAAAUUUGAUCGGGAAGGGGUCGUUAAAGGUUUGUCGCGGAUUUCAAAUAGGGAAUAUGUCUUGUAGGUUUUUACAUUGUAUAUAAAGAGUAACUGACCAACUCAUUUAUACAACUCAUUUAUAUCACUCAUUUAUAUAACUCAUUUAUAUAACUCAUUAUAUAUUUACUUAUUAGUGUUUUUGCUAGGUGAGAUCUUUAUUAUUUUUGGUAACCGUAGCGUUCUUGUUGUGGAUCUCACUCUAGCGUAGUUCAAUUUAGGAAAUAAUUACUAACUUUUUAGUUGUAAGGACUUAGUGCUAUUCUGACGGACUUUUGCUUUGGAUUUUGAUUUUAAUACCUUUGCUUGGCCAGUGAUAGUGGAUAAUUGCUUGUUAAGUGGCCUUUGCGGUCCUAUUUGAUCUUCUCCCCAUCCACUAUCACUGUUAUCACGUUGCGUUAUAUGUAAAUUGUUAGUAUUUAACAUUUAUUAUUAAUAUAUUUGUAUGUAUUAA